Molecule: long non-coding RNA, 1107 nt
Organism: Grus americana (Whooping crane)
Lineage: Eukaryota; Metazoa; Chordata; Aves; Gruiformes; Gruidae
Exons: 6
Source: RefSeq, a predicted model, not a curated record
AGGCCGCGCUGAGGACGUGGUUGCCCGUCCCUCCCUUGGGGAUGCCGUCGACUGCACCCGCCUCGCCUGUGCCUGGCCUGGCUCGCCUCGUGGCGUGGGGGCGAAAAGGGACAGGCGGCGGAGCGCUUACCGGCCGUGGACAGGAGCUGCCCUAAGGGAAGCUGGAAUGGCCAGAGAAAGGUGAAGAAGAAGAAGAAGAAGAAGAGAUGGAAGGCUCUCCGGCCGGCAGCUGCCUCCCGCUGCAGGCAAGAGAGCGCCUGCCUCGCCGGGCGGAGGACAGCCGAGCGACCGGAGUGACAGCAAAGGAAAGGCGGAGAGCAGGAGAAAGAAGCGUCUGCGCUGGCAAGCUCUCCCGGCAGCGCCGAGAGCCAGAGCUGCGGUGCUGCUGCGCCGAUGCUCCGUACGUUCGCAGUAACGGGUAGAGCGGAAGGCUCUGUGGCCAGGGAAGAGCGGCACGGACACGUUCCUGCUCGCUCCGUUGCACCGGAAUUUCGACGGCUGGGUUCGGCCGCUAAAUUGAUGGCGCUACCGGAAGAAAUUUCAGAGAAAAAGGGUGGCUUUUUCGUCGAUCUCUUUGUGAGAGUAUCAAAUCAGGCGGCGGUAAAUACGUAGAAGCAACUAGGCGUACUACGGCGUGUACCGGACAGCGUUGGCGUGCCGCUCUGCUAGCAGCGGAGAGCCAGAUGAGGAUGCCCGUGAUAUGAGAACAGCUCUGUCCAGAGAUAUGGAGACGAAAUCAGUUGUACCUCACCCUGUGACACCGGAAGACAUUGAGUAACUCGUCCUGCAGCUGGCUCCUCGGUUUUGGCGGCAGCCUGCACAUAGCAGCCCAGCUCUCCAGCAGCCUGACGGACCGACCGUGUGUCUGUUCCACGCCGGACUGGCGAGCGUGGCUCUGGGUAGGACAGCCGAGGUGCCCCAGGGCCGGGCCCCGAGCCCCGGUGCGGAGUCUCUCCCGGAACCGGCUCUGUGUGUGACUGAAUAAACGCUUGCGGUCUCUUUUGCCGUGCCGGCUGCGUUGGCGCUUCCUUUGCGGGGGGGGCGAGGGGCCGUGAUGGAGGGCAGGGGAGGAGGUGUGUGUGGGGGUAUUAACGUAUUCAACAAGGU